AGUGGCGAACGGGAGAGUAACGCGUGGGAAACCUGCCCUUCAGCGGGGGACAACAGUUCUAACGAGCUGCUAAUACCGCAUACGAUCUAACUACCGCAUGGUGGUUUGAUGAAAGAUGGCCUCUACAUGUAAGCUGUCACUGGAGGAUGGUCCCGCGUCCCAUUAGCUUGUUGGUGGGGUAAAGGCCUACCAAGGCGACGAUGGGUAGCCGGCCUGAGAGGGUGUCCGGCCUCACUGGGACUGAGAUACGGCCCAGACUCCUACGGGAGGCAGCAGUCGAGAAGCUUCGGCAAUGGACGAAAGUCUGACCGAGCGACGCCGCGUGAGCGAUGAAGGCCUUCGGGUCGUAAAGCUCUGUCAGGAGGGAAUAAAUACCUAUGGUUAAUACCCAUGGGGGCUGAAGGUACCUCCAGAGGAAGCGCCGGCUAACUACGUGCCAGCAGCCGCGGUAAUACGUAGGGCGCAAACGUUGUUCGGAUUCACUGGGUAUAAAGGGUUCGUAGGCGGGCUAUUAAGUCAGAGGUGAAAGCCACCGGCUCAACCGGUGAAUUGCCUCUGAUACUGUUAGUCUUGAGUCCGUUAGGGGGUGGUGGAAUUCCUGGUGUAGCGGUGAAAUGCGUAAAUAUCAGGAGGAACACCAGUGGCGAAGGCGACCACCUGGGACGGUACUGACGCUGAGGAACGAAAGCAUGGGUAUCAAACGGGAUUAGAUACCCCGGUAGUCCAUGCUGUAAACGAUGGGCACUAGGUGUCGGAGGAGCUUACCCCUUCGGUGCCGCAGCUAACGCAUUAAGUGCCCCACCUGGGGAGUACGAUCGCAAG
RNAcentral lists this ribosomal RNA (822 nucleotides) under uncultured Planctomycetota bacterium. Its description in RNAcentral is "bacterial SSU rRNA". It matches the Rfam family "Bacterial small subunit ribosomal RNA", at positions 94 to 892 of the family's 1533-position model. Lineage: Bacteria; Pseudomonadati; Planctomycetota. The record is from RNAcentral.